UCCAGCACUGAAACCAAUUUAAAUAGAAA
This 29-nucleotide non-coding RNA is filed under the name Mus musculus (house mouse). Lineage: Eukaryota; Metazoa; Chordata; Mammalia; Rodentia; Muridae. The record is from RNAcentral.